Molecule: long non-coding RNA, 516 nt
Organism: Boleophthalmus pectinirostris (great blue-spotted mudskipper)
Lineage: Eukaryota; Metazoa; Chordata; Actinopteri; Gobiiformes; Gobiidae
Exons: 2
Source: RefSeq, a predicted model, not a curated record
AAUAAAUAAAAUGUUAUUCUCCGUUGUAAACUGAACAUCCUCUUUGGUCUCUUCUUGUCCUUCCAGCGCUGGCAGACCCGAUCUAGAUACUAAAUCAGAUGACUUUAGAGGGCCUAUGAGGGUUGAAUAAAAUAAGUGAGUAAACUGAGAGCAUACAAAAGAAGAACUGCUCAAGCUUUGCCUUUGGAACCCUCACUGCACUUUUUCAUCCUCCUGUUUUUUUUCCAAAACAUUUCUUUGAAUUUUCUUUAUUUGUGCAAUUUACUGUAAAUAAUGUCUUCGCUGUCAAAUAUGUAAACCUGUGGAUCACCAUGGUGAUAUUUUUAUAAUGUAAAUUACUGAGGACCUUUGGUGAUUGGAUGUUUUUUUCAGUACUUUUUACCGCCCAGAGCUUGGAGCAAGUAGAGAUGGACAAAACGGUGCUUUGACUGAAACAUGAUAGAUAAGCCUGUCCCAAUGGUAUUUUUAUGUUUUAUGUAAGGGUCUGCUCUUUGUAAAUAAACUGCCUGUCCAAUA